UGUGAAGAAAGGAAUUGCAAUACAGGUAUGUGAUUUGAUCACAAUCUGAAAUUCAGCACAUAUCAAUUUCAGCAUAUGAAAUAGAUCCAUGUGGUUUUAUAUUUUUAUGCAUGAAAAAUUUAGAUUAAAAUUAUUUUACUCUUAAUCUAUACUACAGUAUUUAGAAAAUAAAAUUUUGAAACAUAUAUGCAUGCACCAAAUCUAGAAAUUCAACAGUGGUAUCAAAGCCAUGGAU
Molecule: long non-coding RNA, 235 nt
Filed under: Elaeis guineensis (African oil palm)
Lineage: Eukaryota; Viridiplantae; Streptophyta; Magnoliopsida; Arecales; Arecaceae
Description: long non-coding RNA (EGUI_LNC070511)
Source: RNAcentral